CCCCCCGCACUCCCGGGGCGUCUCUGGCUCAUCGCGAGCGGAGGCGCACCUAGAGCGUUCACGUUGGGACCCGAAAGAUGGUGAACUAUGCCUGGCCAGGACGAAGCCAGGGGAAACCCUGGUGGAGGUCCGUAGCGGUUCUGACGUGCAAAUCGAUCGUCGGAGCUGGGUAUAGGGGCGAAAGACUAAUCGAACCAUCUAGUAGCUGGUUCCCUCCGAAGUUUCCCUCAGGAUAGCUGGCGCCCAGGUUGAGACGAGUCUCAUCUGGUAAAGCGAAUGAUUAGAGGCAUUGGGGUCGAAACGACCUCAACCUAUUCUCAAACUUUAAAUGGAUGAGAACCCCGGCUUGCUUGAUCACUUCUCGUGAAGCCGGGGCUCGGAUCCGGGUGCCAAGUGGGCCAAUUUUG
This 407-nucleotide ribosomal RNA is filed under the name Asclepios annandalei. RNAcentral describes it as "eukaryotic LSU rRNA". It matches the Rfam family "Eukaryotic large subunit ribosomal RNA", at positions 749 to 1139 of the family's 3401-position model. Lineage: Eukaryota; Metazoa; Arthropoda; Insecta; Hemiptera; Gerridae. The record is from RNAcentral.